Schistosoma margrebowiei is the source of this 46-nucleotide non-coding RNA. The record is from Rfam. Lineage: Eukaryota; Metazoa; Platyhelminthes; Trematoda; Strigeidida; Schistosomatidae.
GCACUGAUGGAGAGUUCCACAAUAGGACGAAACGGCCGUCCAGUAC